RNAcentral lists this ribosomal RNA (301 nucleotides) under uncultured bacterium. Its description in RNAcentral is "partial 16S ribosomal RNA". It matches the Rfam family "Bacterial small subunit ribosomal RNA", at positions 509 to 807 of the family's 1533-position model. The record is from RNAcentral.
CAGCAGCCGCGGGAAUACGUAGGGUGCGAGCGUUAAUCGGAAUUACUGGGCGUAAAGCGUGCGCAGGCGGUCGUGUAAGACAGGUGUGAAAUCCCCGGGCUUAACCUGGGAACUGCGCUUGUGACUGCACAGCUAGAGUAUGGCAGAGGGGGGUGGAAUUCCACGUGUAGCAGUGAAAUGCGUAGAGAUGUGGAGGAACACCGAUGGCGAAGGCAGCCCCCUGGGCCAAUACUGACGCUCAUGCACGAAAGCGUGGGGAGCAAACAGGAUUAGAUACCCGCGUAGUCCCUGUCUCUUAUAC